AGUGAAUAGAUACCCGGGUAGUCCCAGCUGUAAACGAUGCGCGUUAGGUGUAUCGGUGACCACGAGUCACCGAGGUGCCGAAAGGGAAACCGUGAAACGUGCCGCCUGGGAAGUACGGCCGCAAGGCUGAAACUUAAAGGAAUUGGCGGGGGAGCACCACAACAGGUGGAGCCUGCGGUUUAAAUCGGACUCAACGCCGGGAAGCUCACCGGAUAAGACAGCUGAAUGAUAGCCGGGUUGAAGACUCUGCUUGACUAGCUGAGAGGAGGUGCAUGGCCGUCGUCAGUUCGUACUGUGAAGCAUCCUGUUAAGUCAGGCAACGAGCGAGACCCACGCCAACAGUUGCCAGCAUGUCCUCCGGGAUGGUGGGGACACUGUUGGGACCGCCUCUGCUAAAGAGGAGGAAGGAAUGGGCAACGGUAGGUCAGCAUGCCCCGAAUUAUCCGGGCUACACGCGGGCUACAAUGGUCAGGACAAUGGGUAUCAACACCGAAAGGUGAAGGCAAUCUCCUAAACCUGUCCUUAGUUCGGAUUGUGGGCU
RNAcentral lists this ribosomal RNA (541 nucleotides) under uncultured bacterium. Its description in RNAcentral is "bacterial SSU rRNA". It matches the Rfam family "Archaeal small subunit ribosomal RNA", at positions 725 to 1262 of the family's 1478-position model. The record is from RNAcentral.